RNAcentral lists this ribosomal RNA (464 nucleotides) under uncultured bacterium. RNAcentral's name for it is "partial 16S ribosomal RNA". It matches the Rfam family "Bacterial small subunit ribosomal RNA", at positions 339 to 795 of the family's 1533-position model. The record is from RNAcentral.
CUACGGGCUGCUGCAGUGGGGAAUAUUGGACAAUGGGGGAAACCCUGAUCCAGCAAUGCCGCGUGUGUGAAGAAGGCCUUAGGGUUGUAAAGCACUUUCAGUAGUGAGGAAAAGUUUAAGGCUAAUACCCUUGAACCCUGACGUUAACUACAGAAGAAGCACCGGCUAACUUCGUGCCAGCAGCCGCGGUAAUACGAAGGGUGCAAGCGUUAAUCGGAUUUACUGGGCGUAAAGCGCGCGUAGGCGGUUUGAUAAGUCGGAUGUGAAAGCCCCGGGCUCAACCUGGGAAUUGCAUUCGAUACUGUCAGGCUAGAGUAUGGUAGAGGGAAGUGGAAUUCCACAUGUAGCGGUGAAAUGCGUAGAUAUGUGGAGGAACACCAGUGGCGAAGGCGACUUCCUGGCCCAAUACUGACGCUGAGGUGCGAAAGCGUGGGGAGCAAACAGGAUUAGAUACCCGAGUAGUC